Non-coding RNA from Oryza meridionalis, 194 nucleotides. The record is from Rfam. NCBI's taxonomy places the organism in Eukaryota, Viridiplantae, Streptophyta, Magnoliopsida, Poales, Poaceae.
AAAGACUACAGUUUUACACUGUUUAUAUCCAACGUUUGAUCGUACGUCUUAUUUAAAAAUAAUUAUGAUUAAUAUUUUUAUUGUUAUUAGAAUGAUAAAACACGAAUAAUACUUUAUGUGUGACUUUUUUUUAAUUUUUUAUAAAUUAUUUAAAUAAGACGUAUGGUCGAAAGUUGAAAAAAAAAUUCACAACU